GAGAUUGGGUUUAGUAUUAACUUCUUCCAUGCAAUCAUAUACAUUUCAUAUUUAUUUUCAUCAAUAUGUACUAUGUUAUUUUUAUGGUUCUAUUUUAUUUGGGUUUAAGAUUUAUAUUUAGGUUUAUGGUUUAGUGAUUAGGGUUUAAGGUUUAAUAUUUAAGGAUUGAGGUGGGGUAGAGGUUAGGAUAAAGUUUAUUUUUAGGUGUUGAGAAGGUGUUAGUGUAUUUUGGUGAUAUGAAAUAGAACAGUCGAGAAUUUUCAAAUCAUGUGCUUGUGCAUUCUUCGACUUGUUAUUUGCAGUAAACGGAAUACACUUUUUAAUCAAAAAAUCUUCUAUUUUCUUCCACACAUUUACUGCAAACAGUAACCCCAUAUGCGGUAAAAAUUAGAGUGAUUUGUCUCCUUUUUUUCGUAAGUUAUGACCACGUGACAUAAGUUUUGGCCCAGAUAAGUUGGUGUUGACGUCAUCUCUUUCGUUACGUAUGAACUUUUUUUUUUUUUUUUUUGUAACAUCGUUACGUAUGAACAGUUUAAAUAAAUUGUGGACCAAGUAAGUUGGUGCCAACGUCAUCUCCUUAUCAUUUGUAACCGGUAACUUGUAUUAGCAAAGAGUAAAACCGGAGCAAACGAGUGCUAAAUGUUAGAAACUCAAUUAUAUCAAAAUCAUAUUCAUUCCCUUAAUUACACUCGAGAUUGUAACCAUUUGGAAAAUUCU
This 717-nucleotide long non-coding RNA is filed under the name Brassica rapa (field mustard). RNAcentral's name for it is "long non-coding RNA (BRAP_LNC003067)". Lineage: Eukaryota; Viridiplantae; Streptophyta; Magnoliopsida; Brassicales; Brassicaceae. The record is from RNAcentral.